This 1521-nucleotide ribosomal RNA is filed under the name Prevotella sp. oral clone IK053. RNAcentral's name for it is "bacterial SSU rRNA". It matches the Rfam family "Bacterial small subunit ribosomal RNA". Lineage: Bacteria; Pseudomonadati; Bacteroidota; Bacteroidia; Bacteroidales; Prevotellaceae. The record is from RNAcentral.
GAGUUUGAUUCUGGCUCAGGAUGAACGCUAGCUACAGGCUUAACACAUGCAAGUCGCGGGGCAGCAUGUUGGUUGCUUGCAACCGAUGAUGGCGACCGGCGCACGGGUGAGUAACGCGUAUCCAACCUACCUAUUACCACGGGAUAACCCGGCGAAAGUCGGACUAAUACCGUAUGUGGUCUUCAAGUGGCAUCAGCAGUAGACUAAAGGUUUGGCGGUAAUAGAUGGGGAUGCGUCCGAUUAGUUAGUUGGCGGGGUAACGGCCCACCAAGACGUCGAUCGGUAGGGGUUCUGAGAGGAAGGUCCCCCACACUGGAACUGAGACACGGUCCAGACUCCUACGGGAGGCAGCAGUGAGGAAUAUUGGUCAAUGGGCGUAAGCCUGAACCAGCCAAGUAGCGUGCAGGAUGACGGCCCUAUGGGUUGUAAACUGCUUUUAUGCAAGAAUAAAUUAGCUCACGUGUGGGUUAUUGCAGGUAUUGCAUGAAUAAGGACCGGCUAAUUCCGUGCCAGCAGCCGCGGUAAUACGGAAGGUCCGAGCGUUAUCCGGAUUUAUUGGGUUUAAAGGGAGCGUAGGCGGCCUUUUAAGCGUGUUGUGAAAUUCAGUUGCUCAACAUCUGACUUGCAGCGCGAACUGGGGGGCUUGAGUAUGCUGAAGGUAGGCGGAAUUCGUGGUGUAGCGGUGAAAUGCUUAGAUAUCACGAAGAACUCCGAUUGCGAAGGCAGCUUACUGCAGCUUAACUGACGCUGAUGCUCGAAAGCGUGGGUAUCGAACAGGAUUAGAUACCCUGGUAGUCCACGCGGUAAACGAUGGAUGCUCGUUGUUGGUAUGUAUAUAUCAGUGACCAAGUGAAAACGUUAAGCAUCCCACCUGGGGAGUACGCCGGCAACGGUGAAACUCAAAGGAAUUGACGGGGGCCCGCACAAGCGGAGGAACAUGUGGUUUAAUUCGAUGAUACGCGAGGAACCUUACCCGGGCUUGAACUGCAGCGGAACGAUUCAGAGAUGAUGAGGUCCUUCGGGACUGCUGCGGAGGUGCUGCAUGGUUGUCGUCAGCUCGUGCCGUGAGGUGUCGGCUUAAGUGCCAUAACGAGCGCAACCCCUUUUUAUAGUUGCCAUCGGGUAAUGCCGGGCACUCUGUAGAUACUGCCGCCGAAGGUGUGAGGAAGGCGGGGAUGACGUCAAAUCAGUCACGGCCCUUACGUCCGGGGCUACACACGUGUUACAAUGGCGCGUACAGCGAGUUGGUGUUAUGUGAGUAGCAUCUAAUCCUGAAAGCGCGCCUCAGUUCGGACUGGGGUCUGCAACCCGACCCCACGAAGCUGGAUUCGCUAGUAAUCGCGCAUCAGCCAUGGCGCGGUGAAUACGUUCCCGGGCCUUGUACACACCGCCCGUCAAGCCAUGAAAGCCGGGGGCGCCUGAAGUCCGUGACCGCAAGGGUCGGCCUAAGGUGAAACCGGUGAUUGGGGCUAAGUCGUAACAAGGUAGCCGUACCGGAAGGUGCGGCUGGAUCACCUCCUU